RNAcentral lists this long non-coding RNA (3406 nucleotides) under Capsicum annuum. RNAcentral's name for it is "long non-coding RNA (CANN_LNC009608)". Lineage: Eukaryota; Viridiplantae; Streptophyta; Magnoliopsida; Solanales; Solanaceae. The record is from RNAcentral.
CCGAUGGGAUAAAGAAUUCUUUAUAGUAGCCGUAGACUCUCCGUUUUAAGGUGUGUCUUUUAAGAAUCAUGGCUGAAACUUUUAUCCCCAUCAAGUUGGAAGGAACAUACGCAUCAUAAGGAACACCAGUUCUGGUUCUUUGCCAGGUCAAUUCCCUGAAAGCAUAUUGCUGAAGUAAGGAAUCAAGUGAGCUUUUCACAGUUGAUUCAGAUCCAACCAGAAAUGGAAUUAGAAACCAAAUAAUUAUGUAGAAAUAACCUGAUGAAUGCAUCAGAUUAGGAAUGGAGGAAUGUUCAAAUAAAUCUUUGACUUUCCGCUAGAUAACUAAACCAAGAUUGUGUUAGGGGUCUUCAGAGGGAGAAUUCCGUAAUCCCUUCUGCUUGCUGAAGAAGGGCUUGCGUAACGGACAGUAUUCAGGAGGGAGCUAAAGGAAAUCGAAGUUAGAAUAUGGAACACAUUUGCUGAUUUGAGCAGCAGAUCUCAAGAAAGAACAAGUGAAAAACUACUUCUGCAGAUCUCAAGAAAGAAUUAGUGAAAAACUACUUAGUCCACCCACAGCUGGACAAAAGUCAGCGUCUGGAUUAACUGUGCUAGGCUGUUUGGAUGCCUUAAUAUUAGUUAUUAUUUUGGUUCUUUAUUUUUUGUUUAAGGAAGGUCACUUCCUUUUUUCUUAAAGCAUCAAGGUUCUUUUUUAAAAAAAAACAUAGGGGUCGUUUGGUAGAGUGUAUUGGAAAGUUAAUGCAUGCAUUAGUUUAAUAUGUAUUAGUAGUACCUUGUUUGGUAUAUCUUUUUACCCAAUGUAUAACUAAUGCUUGCAUUAGUUAUAAACUCUAUUGUAUAUUGAGGUGUAUUACUAAUACCUCAAAAUCCAUGACAUUAAUAAUGCAAUGGAUCGAAUGCAUGCAUUAACAUGCUUAAAGACACUAUUAUCCCUCAAAAAAAUUUCCGCAUCCUUUUCAACAUAUAUAUUGAGGGUAUUAUGUAAAAAAAAAAGAAUUUUUUAGAAAUUAUGUAAUUCAUGCUAUUUUUAAUACAUCGAGCCAAAUACUGCAUAAGAAAAAUACAAGCAUAACUAAUGCAAGCAUAGCUAACACAAACAUUGUUAAUACAAGCAUUACUAAUACACCAUAUUUUGCAUUAUUCUUAUACACUCUACCAAAUUAAAAAGGGAAUACCAUAGCUUUGGUUUUCAGUUUCAAAUUCAUCCCGCUGACUAGGUAUUCUAAGAAUAUCCAAAAAUGAAAAAAAACUGGCCUGCUAAACAUCAACAUAUUUGCAAAACAAUGCAGCAGCAAAACACAGGCACUUUCUGUCUUUAUAUGCUACACAAUAAUUGUCCGAACAAUCAGCAAGCAAUUACCAGCUCUGAGUUCUUUGUGGUUCCAUACUUACCGAGACACCAUAAGCUGUCCAAAAGCUUGCUACCUAGUACUAGUUCCUUGCUAUGUAGUUUUAAUUUGUCCGGUAUGAAAGUUUUCAAAUAAGCAACGGAUGUAGUACUGGAAACCACACCGUUAAUCCUAUGUAACCUUAUCUGCCAGUAACUCCUCUGGAUGGACGUAGGAAUGUAACUACAAAUAACGAAAAAGACAUUAGCAUGCAUUCUAAUAUUGUAGCUAGCUAAGUCCGGAGAAUCAACUAGAAUUUUUCCCUCAAACACAAGUUUUUGCCGAUGAACUGAUAUUCUUAGCUUCUUUAGAAAUCUGUCUUCACAUUCUUGACAAACUCAUGCUUGUGCACGUCUAAUGUAAUAAUUCCACUACUCAUCUUGAUUAAGAUCUGUAUCAUUCUCCGCUUCACCUGUAAGCCGGACUCUUUCUUGAUAUCACACUGAUAUAAUGUCUUCAUAUCUUCCAAUUUAUGCUUCCUCAAGAACAGAUCCAUAGAAUCUAUCGAGCAGCCAACUCUGCUCUCUAUUUUUUUAAUGUCGCUAAUAGUUAAGGCAGCCUUGACUUCUAUUUGUACAAUUUCCUCCGUUGGCAUUACCAAGAGAAAUAAGCAACUUGUCACUAGGAUUGAAAACCAUAUGACAUGUUGAUCUAUCAUCGAGCCAAUGUAUUGCAAUCUAAAUUAACUCGCACACUCGAUCAAGCAAACAUACAGCAAAAUUGUACUUAUUAAUGCAUUCACACCCCAUUAUACAACCUAUUGCAUAUAAAAUCUAAGUUCUAUGUGUUGACAUAGUGGCGGUGUAUAAACUUUUUACACUAGCAUGUUAAACUACCGACAACAACAGAAAAUUACUUAAAUGCAAUCUAGUAACCUGGAAAAUAGAAUAAAUCUCUUGUUAUAACAGAUUAAAUUAGAUUGAUAGCGUAAAAAAUCUCACAAAUUGUACCUAAGUAUGCAAGCCACAAAAAUAUUGGUGUUGCCACUUAAAGUACAUAGUCAUUCUCCGGCAAUGGUCUAGUUGGAGCUUCCAAUGGCACCUCUGUGUUCCCUAACAAGGGCUGAACAACUGCUGCUGAAUCAUACAACCUCUGUUUUAUUUCCAGUAAUCCAGAUUUUUUUACAAUAACAAACAAUAUUCCCAAGAGAGCAAAAAAUAGAAAUACUGAUGAAAUCGUCCACAUUUUAGAGUUGAUGUUUUGAUGAUUAUUGUCAUCAGCUGUAGGAGGAGGACUUGGGGCAAUUUCAUGAGCACUAGGAGAAGGACUUGGGGCAAUUUCAUGAGCACUAGGAGAAGGGCUUGGGGCAAUUUCAUGGGCACUAGCAGAAGGACUUGGGGAAAUUUCAUGAGCACUAGGAGGAGGACUUGGAGAGGCUUUCACCUCAGCAACUAUAGAAUAAUGGCCUUGUAUUCUGGUUUCACAAAUAUUUCCAUCGGUAACAUGGCCAAAUUUGACAAAAUUAUUUGAGUAGAAAUAAGCACACUUGGGGAAAGACCCCUCUGGUGCUGGCUGAACAAAAGGAAACCUGAUGGUGAUAGGGUCUUCCAAUGCUAGUAUAUCCAAUUCUGGUAGAUUUGUGGCAUACAAAUCAUUAGCAUCAUAAGCCAAGAUUCCCAAAACUGGUGUCAGAUAAAUGUAACCAGGCAAAGGAUAAUAAAAGGAUGACCAAUUACCCAAGUUUUGGUAAACCAGAACAAGUUUCUUUACAUAAGGCUCCACUAUGAUCCCCGAUGGGAUAAAGAAUUCUUUAUAGUAGCCGUAGACUCUCCGUUUUAAGGUGUGUCUUUUAAGAAUCACGGCUGAAACUUUUAUCCCCAUCAAGUUGGAAGGAACAUACGCAUCAUAAGGAACACCAGUUCUGGUUCUUUGCCAGGUCAAUUCCCUGAAAGCAUAUUGCUGAAGUAAGGAAUCAAGUGAGCUUCUUGCAGAUGAAUCUGAACUAUUUGAUUGAGAUCCAACCAAAGCAGGAAUUAGCAACCAGAUAAUUAUGUAGAAAUAACCCGAUGAAUGCAUUG